RNAcentral lists this ribosomal RNA (27 nucleotides) under Keratoisis sp. K26591C. RNAcentral describes it as "partial 28S ribosomal RNA". Lineage: Eukaryota; Metazoa; Cnidaria; Anthozoa; Scleralcyonacea; Keratoisididae. The record is from RNAcentral.
UUGACCUCAGAUCGGGCAGCAUUACCC